UGUAAGCGUAUACCAAAGUUGUUGCAGUUAAAACGCUCGUAGUCGGAAUUUGGCAGUUCCGGAUGUGUGCACGUCGUGUGCGCACUUCGCGGGGAUUGCUUUUGUGGUCUUGCGUAGGAUGAGGCACUUUUAUUAGUGAACGUCCUCACGCAACCACUUUUUACUGUGAGAAAAUCAGAGUGCUCAAAGCAGGCAUUUGCCGUGAAUGUACUAGCAUGGAAUAAUAGAAUAGGACUUGGUUCUAUUUUGUUGGUUUGUUGGGACUGAGUAAUGAUUAAGAGGGACAGUUGGGGGCAUUUGUAUUUCGGUGCUAGAGGUGAAAUUCUUAGAUUACCGAAAGACAAACUGCUGCGAAAGCGUCUGCCAAGGAUGUUUUCAUUGA
RNAcentral lists this ribosomal RNA (382 nucleotides) under uncultured eukaryote. RNAcentral's name for it is "partial 18S ribosomal RNA". It matches the Rfam family "Eukaryotic small subunit ribosomal RNA", at positions 592 to 976 of the family's 1831-position model. The record is from RNAcentral.